GUGAAUCAUCGAAUCUUUGAACGCAAAUUGCACUUUCUGGUAUUCCGGAGAGUAUGCCUGUUUGAGGGUCAGUGUAAUAAAUAAAUCGUGGUUGUUACCACCUUUCGUGGUAACGCUUCGGAAUUGAGUCAUCUUACCUUCGGUUAAGUGACUUAAAAUUUUAUCAUACGAUUUCGAAACGUAUUUAAUGUAUUAUGUACGUUCACGAAUAUCGAAUGUUUAUUAGGUGCGGUCAUUUUCAUGAAUCGUGUCUAUAAUUUUUUUUUUUUGACCUCAAAUCAGGUAAGAAUACCCGCUGAA
RNAcentral lists this unclassified non-coding RNA (300 nucleotides) under uncultured Glomeraceae. RNAcentral describes it as "sequence contains 5.8S rRNA gene, ITS2". The stretch from base 1 to 71 matches the Rfam family "5.8S ribosomal RNA", at positions 84 to 154 of the family's 154-position model. The record is from RNAcentral. Lineage: Eukaryota; Fungi; Glomeromycota; Glomeromycetes; Glomerales; Glomeraceae.